This 345-nucleotide unclassified non-coding RNA is filed under the name soil metagenome. Its description in RNAcentral is "partial contains 5.8S ribosomal RNA, internal transcribed spacer 2, and large subunit ribosomal RNA". The stretch from base 1 to 120 matches the Rfam family "5.8S ribosomal RNA", at positions 35 to 154 of the family's 154-position model. The record is from RNAcentral.
GAUGAAGAACGUAGCGAAAUGCGAUACGUAAUGUGAAUUGCAGAAUUCAGUGAAUCAUCAAGUCUUUGAACGCACAUUGCGCCCCCUGGUAUUCCGGGGGGCAUGCCUGUCCGAGCGUCAUUGCUGCCCUCAAGCACGGCUUGUGUGUUGGGCCUCCGUCCUCCUCCCGGGGGACGGGCCCGAAAGGCAGCGGCGGCACCGCGUCCGGUCCUCGAGCGUAUGGGGCUUCGUCACCCGCUCUUGUAGGCCCGGCCGGCGCUUGCCGACACAUCAAUCUUUUUUCCAGGUUGACCUCGGAUCAGGUAGGGAUACCCGCUGAACUUAAGCAUAUCAAUAAGCGGAGGA